Gracilinanus agilis (Agile Gracile Mouse Opossum) is the source of this 345-nucleotide non-coding RNA. Lineage: Eukaryota; Metazoa; Chordata; Mammalia; Didelphimorphia; Didelphidae. The record is from the annotation of a RefSeq genome assembly.
AUGGGAUUUGGACUAAAAGUGAUUUUCAUUCUGACUAUUUUGCAAGGUGUCCAUUGUGAUAUUCAGCUCUUGGAGUCUGGGGGAGAUGUGAGACCGCCUGGAGGAUCCUUGAAACUCUCCUGCAAAGCUUCUGGAUUUACCUUCAAAGACUAUGGCAUGAGUUGGGUCCGCCAGGCUCCAGGGAAGGGGCUGGAGUGGGUCUCAUACAUUAGGUACGAUGGCACUACCACAAACUAUGCAGACUCUGUGAAAGGCCGAUUCACCAUCUCCAGAGACAAUGGCAACAGCCUGCUGCACCUGCAGAUGAAUUCCCUGAAAGCUGAGGACACAGCCACGUAUUACUGA